This 497-nucleotide ribosomal RNA is filed under the name uncultured bacterium. RNAcentral's name for it is "partial 16S ribosomal RNA". It matches the Rfam family "Bacterial small subunit ribosomal RNA", at positions 28 to 507 of the family's 1533-position model. The record is from RNAcentral.
GACGAACGCUGGCGGCGUGCCUAAUACAUGCAAGUCGAGCGAACAAGCUUGGUGCUUGCUCCAAUUUGAAGAGCAGCGAACGGGUGAGUAACGCGUGGGGAAUCUGCCUUUGAGCGUGGGACAACAUUUGGAAACGGAUGCUAAUACCGCAUAACAUCUUUAAACAUAAGGUUCAAUAUUGAAAGAUGCAAUUGCUUCACUUAAUAGUGAUCCCGCCUUGUAUUAGCUAGUUUGUGAGGUAAAGGCUCUACAAGGCGAUGAUACCUUGCCGGACUGGGAGGGUGGUCGGCCACAUUGGGACUGGGACCCGGCCCAAGCUCCUACGGGGGGCAGCAGGAGGGAAACUUCCGCAAUGGGCGGAAGUCUGACCGAGCAACGCCGGGGGAGUGAAGAAGGUUUUCGGGUCGGAAAACUCUGUUGGUAGGGGAGAAAGAUAGUGAGAAUUGAAAGCGCACCUAGUGACGGUAACUACUCAGAAAGCCACGGCUAACUACGUG